RNAcentral lists this ribosomal RNA (377 nucleotides) under uncultured bacterium. RNAcentral describes it as "bacterial SSU rRNA". It matches the Rfam family "Bacterial small subunit ribosomal RNA", at positions 523 to 898 of the family's 1533-position model. The record is from RNAcentral.
AUACGUAGGUGGCAAGCGUUGUCCGGAAUUAUUGGGCGUAAAGCGCGCGCAGGUGGUUUCUUAAGUCUGAUGUGAAAGCCCACGGCUCAACCGUGGAGGGUCAUUGGAAACUGGGAGACUUGAGUGCAGAAGAGGAUAGUGGAAUUCCAAGUGUAGCGGUGAAAUGCGUAGAGAUUUGGAGGAACACCAGUGGCGAAGGCGACUAUCUGGUCUGUAACUGACACUGAGGCGCGAAAGCGUGGGGAGCAAACAGGAUUAGAUACCCUGGUAGUCCACGCCGUAAACGAUGAGUGCUAAGUGUUAGGGGGUUUCCGCCCCUUAGUGCUGCAGCUAACGCAUUAAGCACUCCGCCUGGGGAGUACGGUCGCAAGACUGAA